This 83-nucleotide transfer RNA is filed under the name Gemmatimonadota bacterium. RNAcentral's name for it is "Gemmatimonadetes bacterium (sponge metagenome) tRNA-Ser". It matches the Rfam family "tRNA". From Rfam's summary of the family: Transfer RNA (tRNA) molecules are approximately 80 nucleotides in length. Their secondary structure includes four short double-helical elements and three loops (D, anti-codon, and T loops). Lineage: Bacteria; Pseudomonadati; Gemmatimonadota. The record is from RNAcentral.
GGAGGGGUGGCAGAACGGCUAAUGCACCGGUCUUGAAAACCGGCGGGCGAGAGCCCAUGCGGGUUCGAAUCCCGCCCCCUCCG